Molecule: ribosomal RNA, 373 nt
Filed under: uncultured organism
Description: partial 16S ribosomal RNA
Rfam family: Bacterial small subunit ribosomal RNA
Source: RNAcentral
GUAGGGUCCAAGCGUUAAUCGGAAUUACUGGGCGUAAAGCGUGCGCAGGCGGUUGUGCAAGACCGAUGUGAAAUCCCCGGGCUUAACCUGGGAAUUGCAUUGGUGACUGCACGGCUAGAGUGUGUCAGAGGGGGGUAGAAUUCCACGUGUAGCAGUGAAAUGCGUAGAGAUGUGGAGGAAUACCGAUGGUGAAGGCAGCCCCCUGGGAUAACACUGACGCUCAUGCACGAAAGCGUGGGGGGGAGCAAACAGGAUUAGAUACCCUGGUAGUCCACGCCCUAAACCGAUGUCAACUAGUUGUUGGGGAUUCAUUUCCUUAGUAACGUAGCUAACGCGUGAAGUUGACCGCCUGGGGAGUACGGUCGCAAGAUUA